Molecule: ribosomal RNA, 407 nt
Filed under: uncultured bacterium
Lineage: Bacteria
Description: partial 16S ribosomal RNA
Rfam family: Bacterial small subunit ribosomal RNA
Source: RNAcentral
AUCGAACGCUGGCGGCAGGCCUAACACAUGCAAGUCGAGCGGAGCGGCGGACGGGUGAGUAAUGCCUAGGAAUCUGCCUGGUAGUGGGGGAUAACGUCCGGAAACGGGCGCUAAUACCGCAUACUAUCAGAUGAGCCUAGGUCGGCUUAGCUAGUUGGUGGGGUAAAGGCCUACCAAGGCGACGAUCCGUAACUGGGCUGAGAGGAUGAUCAGUCAGACUGGAACUGAGACACGGUCCAGACUCCUACGGGAGGCAGCAGUAGGGAAUAUUGGGCAAUGGACGAAAGGCUGAUCGAGCCAUGCCGCGUGUGUGAAGAAGGUCUUCGGAUGGUAAAGCACUUGAAGUUGGGAGGCGUUACCAACAGAAUAAGCACCGGCUAACUACGUGCCAGCAGCCGCGGUAAUAC